GACGGAGGGUGCAAGCGUUAUCCGGAUUCACUGGGUUUAAAGGGUGCGUAGGCGGACAGGUAAGUCAGUGGUGAAAUCUCUGGGCUUAACCCAGAAACUGCCGUUGAUACUAUUUGUCUUGAAUAUCCUGGAGGUAGGCGGAAUAUGUCAUGUAGCGGUGAAAUGCUUAGAUAUGACAUAGAACACCGAUAGCGAAGGCAGCUUACUACAGGAUGAUUGACGCUGAGGCACGAAAGCGUGGGGAGCAAACAGG
RNAcentral lists this ribosomal RNA (253 nucleotides) under uncultured bacterium. RNAcentral describes it as "partial 16S ribosomal RNA". It matches the Rfam family "Bacterial small subunit ribosomal RNA", at positions 524 to 776 of the family's 1533-position model. The record is from RNAcentral.